UGUUUGAUCAAGCUACAAAGGGCACACGGUGGAUGCCUAGGCACGACAAGGCGAUGAAGGACGUGGUAAGCUGCGAUAAGCCUCGGGUAGGUGCAAGCGACCUCUGAUCCGGGGAUUUCCGAAUGGGGCAACCCAGCGCGGGUAAUGCCGCGUUACCCCCGAGUGAAUACAUAGCUCGGGAGGAGCGAACGGGGUGAACUGAAACAUCUAAGUAACCCUAGGAACAGAAAGCAAUAGCGAUUUCCUUAGUAGCGGCGAGCGAAAAGGAAAUAGCCCAAACCGUUUGUGUGUAAGCCUGCAAGCGUUGCACAAACGGGGUUGUGGGGCAAGUCUGACGUAGUUGCAGAUUCGUCAGGGAGUUACAAAUCGGCGUGUUAGUUGAACGGCUCUGGAACGUCCGGCCAUAGAGGGUGAAAGCCCCGUAAACGAAAGCGUGUCGACUCCUGUGACUUGUUCCCAAGUACUGCGGAACACGUGAAAUUCUGCAGGAAUCUGGGAGGACCACCUUCCAAGGCUAAAUACUCUGUCGUGACCGAUAGUGAACUGGUACCGUGAGGGAAAGGUGAAAAGUACCCCUUUAUGGGGAGUGAAAUAGUACCUGAAACCGUAUGCCUACAAGCGGUCGGAGGGCGAUCCCGAGCUUCGGCUUGGACUAGCCUGACGGCGUGCCUUUUGCAUAAUGAGCCGGCGAGUUACUCCUGCGUUGCAAGGUUAACCUACUCAGUAGGGGAGCCGUAGCGAAAGCGAGUCUUAAUAGGGCGACUUGAGUAGCGUGGGGUAGACCCGAAGCCAGGUGAUCUAUCCAUGGCCAGGAUGAAGCGCGACUAAUCCCGCGUGGAGGUCCGAACCCACCAAUGUUGAAAAAUUGGGGGAUGAGCUGUGGAUAGGGGUGAAAGGCCAAUCAAACCUGGAGAUAGCUGGUUCUCCCCGAAAUAGUUUUUGGACUAGCCUCGUGAUAUAGAGUGACGGAGGUAGAGCACUGGAUAGGCUCGGGCCCUUCACCGGGUACCAACCCUAACCAAACUCCGAAUGCCGUUUACUUGUUUCACGGGAGUCAGCGUGCGGGGGAUAAGCUUCGUACGCAAGAGGGAAACAACCCAGAUCGCCAGCUAAGGCCCCUAAGUGUAUGCUAAGUGAUAAAGGAUGUGGGAGUGCUGAGACAGCCAGGAUGUUGGCUUAGAAGCAGCCAUUCAUUUAAAGAGUGCGUAACAGCUCACUGGUCAAGUGAACCUGCGCCGAUAAUGAUCGGGACUAAAGCAUACCGCCGAAGCUGCGGGAUUGCGAACCCUUCGGGGUUCGUGAUCGGUAGGGGAGCAUUCUAUAGUAGGCUGAAGGCGGACCGUAAGGUCCGCUGGACGAGAUAGAAGAGACCAUGCCGGCACGAGUAGCGAUAAAACAGGUGAGAAUCCUGUUCACCGAAAAUCUAAGGUUUCCUGGGGAAGGUUCGUCCGCCCAGGGUUAGUCGGUCCCUAAGCCGAGGCCGAAAGGCGUAGGCGAUGGAAAACAGGUCAAAAUUCCUGUACCACCUUAGAGGCGUUUGAGCUAUGGGGUGACGCAGAAGUGACGGUCAGCCCGCGAUUGGAAGUGCGGGUCGAAGCCUGUAGGGGGACAGUCUAGGUAAAUCCGGACUGUCUUAACCCCGAGAGGUGAUAGGGAAACGAGCCUUCGGGCAAGCCAACUGACCUUAAUCAUGCUGCCAAGAAAAACCUCUAUGUGAGUCUCUGUGGUGUCCGUACCGCAAACCGACACAGGUAGAUGAGGAGAGAAUCCUAAGGUGCGCGAGAGAACCCAUGUUAAGGAAUUAGGCAAACUCGCCCCGUAACUUCGGGAGAUGGGGCGCCUCCGAGUAUGUGACCGGACUUGCUCCGGGAGCGGAAGGAGGCCGCAGUGAAAAGGCUCGGGCGACUGUUUACUAAAAACACAGGUCUCUGCUAAGUCGCAAGACGACGUAUAGGGGCUGACACCUGCCCGGUGCGAGUAAAUUAAGAGGAGGGGUUAGCCUUCGGGCGAAGCUCUGAAUCGAAGUUCUCGUAAACGGCGGCCGUAACUAUAACGGUCCUAAGGUAGCGAAAUUCCUCGUCGGAUAAAAACCGACCUGCACGAAUGGUGUAACGGCUUGAGCGCUGUCUCGACAUGGGACUCGGCGAAACUGUAGUUCCGGUGAAGAUGCCGGAUACCCGCAGCGGGACGGAAAGACCCCGUGAACCUUUACUCUAGCUUGGCACUGGGUUUUGGCACAGUAUGUGUAGGAUAGGUGGGAGGCUUUGAAGCGGAUGCGCCAGCGUUCGUGGAGCCAUCCUUGAAAUACCACCCUUACUCUGUUGAAAUUCUAACCUUGGCCCUUGAAUCAGGGUCGGGAACACUGCCUGGUGGGAAGUUUGGCUGGGGCGGUCGCCUCCCAAAAUGUAACGGAGGCGUUCAAAGGUUCCCUCAGCGCGGUCGGUAAUCGCGCGAAGAGUGCAAAGGCAUAAGGGAGCUUAACUGCGAGACCUACAAGUCGAGCAGGUGCGAAAGCAGGACUUAGUGAUCCGACGGUGGCGUGUGGAAGCGCCGAAGCUCAACGGAUAAAAGGUACUCCGGGGAUAACAGGCUUAUCUCCCCCAAGCGUCCAUAGCGACGGGGGGGCUUGGCACCUCGAUGUCGGCUCAUCACAUCCUGGGGCUGGACAAGGUCCCAAGGGUUUGGCUGUUCGCCAAUUAAAGUGGUACGUGAGCUGGGUUUAGAACGUCGUGAGACAGUUCGGUCCCUAUCUGCUGUGGGCGU
RNAcentral lists this ribosomal RNA (2763 nucleotides) under Gemmatimonadota bacterium. Its description in RNAcentral is "bacterial LSU rRNA". It matches the Rfam family "Bacterial large subunit ribosomal RNA". Lineage: Bacteria; Pseudomonadati; Gemmatimonadota. The record is from RNAcentral.